Long non-coding RNA from Leopardus geoffroyi (Geoffroy's cat), 257 nucleotides. RefSeq lists it as uncharacterized. The transcript has 2 exons. Lineage: Eukaryota; Metazoa; Chordata; Mammalia; Carnivora; Felidae. The record is from RefSeq and is a predicted model, not a curated record.
UAAUUACAGGCCAAUAUCCUUGAUGAACUUGGAUGCAAAAAUUCUCAACAAGAUACUAGCAAAUUAAAUUCAACAGUAUAUUAAAAGAAUUAUGCACCAAGAUCAAGUUGGAUUCAUUCUUGGGCUACAGAGCUGUUCAAUAUUCACAAAUCAAUCAACAUGAUGCAUCACAUUAAGAGAAUAAAGGAUAAGAACUGUAUGAUUCUGUCAAUAGAUGUAGGAAAAGCAUUUGACAAAACACAGCAUCCAUUCUUGAU